GCCUUCGGGGUGUAGUGGUCAGCACACUGGACGCGUAUUCGAGAGGUCCGUGGUUCGAGUCCAGGCGAAAGCU
Molecule: transfer RNA, 73 nt
Filed under: Stegodyphus mimosarum
Lineage: Eukaryota; Metazoa; Arthropoda; Arachnida; Araneae; Eresidae
Rfam family: tRNA
About the family: Transfer RNA (tRNA) molecules are approximately 80 nucleotides in length. Their secondary structure includes four short double-helical elements and three loops (D, anti-codon, and T loops).
Source: Rfam by way of RNAcentral